CCUACGGGAGGCAGCAGUGGGGGAUAUUGCACAAUGGGGGGAACCCUGAUGCAGCGACGCCGCGUGGGUGAAGGAGUGCUUCGGCAUGUAAAGCCCUAUCGGCAGGGAAGAAGCAAGACGGUACCUGACUAAGAAGCCCCGGCUAACUACGUGCCAGCAGCCGCGGUAAUAGGUAGGGGGCGAGCGUUGUCCGGAUUCACUGGGUGUAAAGGGAGCGUAGACGGCCAUGCAAGCCAGGGGUGGAAGCCCGGGGCCCAACCCCGGGACUGCCCUUGGAACUGCAUGGCUGGAGGGCGGGAGGGGCAGGCGGAAUGCAUGGUGUAGCGGUGAAAUGCGGAGAUAUCAGGAGGAACACCGGCGGCGAAGGCGGCCUGCUGGACCGCGACUGACGUUGAGGCUCGAAAGCGUGGGGAGCGAACAGGAUUAGAUACCCCAGUAGUC
This 441-nucleotide ribosomal RNA is filed under the name uncultured bacterium. RNAcentral describes it as "partial 16S ribosomal RNA". It matches the Rfam family "Bacterial small subunit ribosomal RNA", at positions 338 to 795 of the family's 1533-position model. The record is from RNAcentral.